This 398-nucleotide unclassified non-coding RNA is filed under the name Hevea brasiliensis (rubber tree). The record is from RNAcentral. Lineage: Eukaryota; Viridiplantae; Streptophyta; Magnoliopsida; Malpighiales; Euphorbiaceae.
GUGAAGAUAGGAUCAUCAGGUUCAACUUGCACCACAUCUCCAACUUUUCGAAACAAUUCGACAAUGAAACAACCAUCAACAACCAUCAUUUCCACAAAUUCAUCCGUGUCAAACUGGAUAGUUUCAGAGUAGCACUCUCUAGCUGCCAUUUCUAGUGCCUCUACUGCCUUUAAAAGGUCCUCUAAGUGUAGGCCUUUAAUUUCAAUCCUAGAAAGCAAAGAGCCCAAGUAUCUCCACUUGUGCUCCUCAAUCAUUCUGAAGGGAGGCUUCCCAUGGUGGUAAGGGCCUAUUGAGACUAUAUGAGGUUGGUAGGACUUACCAUUAAUCUCUAUGAAACUCUGGGGUACCCUAAAGAUGCAACAAGAGCUCUUGGCAGCUGAUUUGGUGAGUAAUGUUGG